AAUAGUUUAGUAUAAACAUUACAUGUAGCUUCCAACUUCAAAAUUUAAUUAAUUAAAACUAUUA
Molecule: transfer RNA, 64 nt
Filed under: Eucalanus bungii
Lineage: Eukaryota; Metazoa; Arthropoda; Copepoda; Calanoida; Eucalanidae
Description: tRNA Gly
Source: RNAcentral